UUCCACUAAACCCUAAAAAUCAGUCGACACAUUCUCUCUUAUUUUCCUUCAUUAAAACACCUUUAAACCUUCAAUUAAUCCCUCCCUCUUCCAAUCCAACACUAGUAAAGUGGUCUAGCAUAUACUUGGAGUUGUCUAAGGUUGUUGAUUGUGCAUUUACUACUCGUUUAGGUCAUAUUAGCUUGAUUAAGUUUCGAUGGGACCCGUAUCUCGUUGAGGCAUAUGCUACCUUGCCUCAGCACUCGGGGAAACAGACAGGGGUGGGGAGUGCUUUUGUGCCACUGAUAUGCUUCAACAUUGUCGAAGUACAUCUACCCGAGCGUGUAAUGCGCCAAUUCGAGAUAUACAGGGCAUCCCACCAUCUGAUGACACUGAGGUAGAAUUGCACCUCACGUCUCGUAAGGGUCAGGCUCCUAAGGACUAAAGCGAGAUCAACAGACGCCAUAUGGCUCGUUGGGAUCACAGGCUGGAGCUGCUAGCUCAAGGUGCUUCAUCGAUUAUACUGGCGCAUCAUCUACCACUGCUGAUUACAUGCCGUGGCUCCUCUCCAUCACUCGGUGAUGGAUGACACUACGAGGUUUUGUAGUUGCGUCCCAGUAUGCUCAUGUCGCGCUAAUGAUGACCCAAUUCGCACAGGGUGUGGCAGCCAUCAUCUAAUCUAGCCAUGAGCAGUCCGUACAAGAGAUUGCGUAGGGCAUGCUUCUUGGCACACAGUUCCAGCACUUCAUACUGGAAAUGGCUGAGGAGGCUUCACCGGCGACCAGCAAGGUCCAAGUCUCGUAUCCUCCUCAUGACGUUCAUUUGGAGGAGGUGGAUUUAUCCUACCCCAAACAUGGUAUGAGGACCUUGCAGGCUGGGCCAUCUCAGUACCAGUCACCACCCCUCCUUGAGCGACACACAAACACAUCCUACUAUUAUAGGAUGCGUAAAAAGCCAUCACAGCUGGAUAGGGUGGAAGAGGGUCUUAGUUUUGUAUAUAUUUUGAUGGACUUAUGUAUUUAUUGAGCGUAUGUAUCAUACUACAAAUUUGUAUAUAUUUGUGUGUGUGUGUGUAUAUAUGUCAAAUGUUAUCAGCUGACAACAUUAUCGAAGAUGAAGACACUAAAAGGCUAUGUUCCUAAUUUCUCACUCGUUGAUUUAAAUUUUCUGCUGGUAUCCUUUCUGUAUGAGGUGACAAUCGAACCCUUAUCACAAGGGUGAAACACUAUGCCUUUAGCUAUUAUACCAACUUAUCAGUAUGGUAUUGAAUAUGAGCUUGUAUAUAUGUUAAAUGCUGUCAGUUGACAACGUUAUCAAAGAUAAAGACACUAAAAGGCUAUGUUCCUAAUUUCUCACUCGUUGAUUUUAAUUUUUUACUGGUAUUCUUUCUAUAUGAGGUGACAAUAGAAACCUUAUCCCAAGGGUGAAAUAUUAUCCCUUCAACUAUUAUACCAACUCCGAAUUCUUAAAUUGACACAUUGUUGAUUUGUUUAUUUUGUUAAAUUUGUGUUGAUUGUUGGUGGUAGAAUAUUAAGAAAUGAUUAGAGUUGGACCUAUUUUAUAUGGAGUAGAACAAUUUAAUUACUUACUUUGUUGCUUUACUGAUAUAUUGUAUGUGGAUUUGAUGAUUAAUUACUAGAUCACCUCUUAGUAUAGCCAGUGGUGGACACAGGAAAAAAAAAAUAAGUGACGUCGAUAAUUUAAACAUAAAACACAAAUUUUAAUUUAGGAUAGUCUUAAUCGUAAGAUAAUUUUAAAUUGGGUUGAAUAGCCCUAAUAAGUUAUUGA
This is a long non-coding RNA of Amaranthus tricolor (Joseph's coat), 1767 nucleotides long. RefSeq lists it as uncharacterized. NCBI's taxonomy places the organism in Eukaryota, Viridiplantae, Streptophyta, Magnoliopsida, Caryophyllales, Amaranthaceae. The transcript has 4 exons. The record is from RefSeq and is a predicted model, not a curated record.